This 240-nucleotide long non-coding RNA is filed under the name Elaeis guineensis (African oil palm). RNAcentral describes it as "long non-coding RNA (EGUI_LNC041072)". The record is from RNAcentral. Lineage: Eukaryota; Viridiplantae; Streptophyta; Magnoliopsida; Arecales; Arecaceae.
UAGUUUUAGUUCAAUUUCAAAUAUUGGUAGAUUCUUAUCAUCAAUUCAAAUUAAAUUUAAAUUAAAUUUUGAAUUAAAUUUUAUCUUCAUCUUAAGAACUUAGAGAGGGGCUGACCAACAUCAGAAUAGCAUAAAAAAAUUCACAUAAAAAUACUUUGUACGUGAAGAAAGGUGGUGGCAUGAAGAGAAGAGUCCAACUCAAUUUAGACUCUAGGUUUUCAUUCAAAUUCAAACCCAUUU